RNAcentral lists this long non-coding RNA (601 nucleotides) under Cairina moschata (Muscovy duck). RNAcentral describes it as "domestica (muscovy Duck (domestic type)) lncRNA (ENSCMMG00000011887.1)". The record is from RNAcentral. Lineage: Eukaryota; Metazoa; Chordata; Aves; Anseriformes; Anatidae.
AUGGGAAGGAACACUGUCCAACAGACCAGGUUGCUCAAAGCCCCAUCUAACCUGGCCUUCAACACUUCCAGGGAUGGGACAUCCACAACUUCUCUGGAAAGCCUGUUCCACUGUCUCACCACCCUCAGAGUAAAGAAUUUCAUCCUUAUAUCUAAUCUAAAUCUACACAGUUUUAGUUUAAAACCAUUACUUGUCCUAUCACUACAUUCCCUGACAAAGACCCUUUCCUGCUUUCCUGUAGGCCCCCUUAAGGAACUGGCAGGCCACUAUAAGGUCACCCCAGAACCUUCUCUUCUCCAGGCUGAACAACCCCAACUCCUUCACCCUGCUCUCAUAGAAGAGUCACUUUUCCUUCCAACAAACAAUAACACCUUGAUGAACCUUACAGAUUUAUUUUCUUUCCCAGAAGAAAACAGUCUCAGGGAAUCUAACUUCCUGUUUCACUGCAUUCACUGAACCUUGAAAAGAAAUGAUCACAGAAUCACAGAAUCACGGAAUAGUUGAAUCUGGAAGAGACCUCUGGAGAUCAUCUAGCCCUCUGCUCAAGCAGGGUCACCUAGAGCACACAGAAUCACACCUAGAUACACAGAAUCACAUUCAG